UACGUAGGGUGCAAGCGUUGUCCGGAUUUAUUGGGCGUAAAGAGCUCGUAGGUGGUUAGGUAAGUCCGAUGUGAAAUCUCCAGGCUCAACCUGGAAAUGGCAUUGGAUACUAUCUAGCUUGAGGAGUGGAGGGGGGACUGGAAUUCUCGGUGUAGCAGUGAAAUGCGUAGAUAUCGAGAGGAACACCAGUGGCGAAGGCGAGUCCCUGGACACUUCCUGACACUGAGGCACGAAAGCUAGGGGAGCAAACAGG
This 253-nucleotide ribosomal RNA is filed under the name uncultured bacterium. RNAcentral describes it as "partial 16S ribosomal RNA". It matches the Rfam family "Bacterial small subunit ribosomal RNA", at positions 524 to 776 of the family's 1533-position model. The record is from RNAcentral.